CGGAUCGUAAAGCUCGUGUGGGGGGAGAAGAAGAAAGUCGGUGAAGAGCCGGCCCUGACGGUAUCCCCUUAGCAAGCACCGGCUAACUCCGUGCCAGCAGCCGCGGUAAUACGGAGGGUGCAAACGUUGCUCGGAAUCAUUGGGCGUAAAGCGCGCGUAGGCGGCUGAACAAGUUGGAUGUGAAAGCCCUGGGCUCAACCUAGGAUGUGCAUUCAAAACUGUUCGGCUUGAGUCUCGGAGGGGGUCAGAGAAUUCUCGGUGUAGAGGUGAAAUUCGUAGAUAUCGGGAGGAACACCAGUGGCGAAGGCGCUGACCUGGACGAUGACUGACGCUGAGGCGCGAAAGCGUGGGGAGCAAACAGGAUUAGAUACCCUGGUAGUCCACGCCGUAAACGAUGAGUGCUAGACGCUGGCGGAUUGACCCCGUCGGUGUCGAAGCUAACGCGUUAAGCACUCCGCCUGGGGAGUACGGUCGCAAGACUAAAACUCAAAGGAAUUGACGGGGGCC
RNAcentral lists this ribosomal RNA (507 nucleotides) under uncultured bacterium. Its description in RNAcentral is "bacterial SSU rRNA". It matches the Rfam family "Bacterial small subunit ribosomal RNA", at positions 419 to 921 of the family's 1533-position model. The record is from RNAcentral.